GGAUGUGAGGGCGAUCUGGCUGCGACAUCUGUCACCCCAUUGAUCGCCAGGGUUGAUUCGGCUGAUCUGGCUGGCUAGGCGGGUGUCCCCUUCCUCCCUCACUGCUCCAUGUGCGUCCCUCCCGAAGCUGCGCGCUCGGUCGAAGAGGACGACCUUCCCUGAAUAGAGGAGGACCGGUCUUCGGUCAAGGGUAUACGAGUAGCUGCGCUCCCCCGCAGAACCUCCAAACAAGCUCUCAAAUCAGUAUACAGAUCGAUAGAUGUAU
This 265-nucleotide small RNA is filed under the name Jaculus jaculus (lesser Egyptian jerboa). RNAcentral's name for it is "7SK RNA (ENSJJAG00000003829.1)". It matches the Rfam family "7SK RNA", at positions 1 to 250 of the family's 331-position model. Rfam says of the family: 7SK was discovered as an abundant small nuclear RNA in the mid-70s but a possible function has only recently been suggested. Two independent studies have found that 7SK RNA binds the CDK9/cyclin T complex (known as elongation factor P-TEFb). P-TEFb activates transcription by phosphorylating the C-terminal domain of RNA polymerase II. Lineage: Eukaryota; Metazoa; Chordata; Mammalia; Rodentia; Dipodidae. The record is from RNAcentral.